Molecule: ribosomal RNA, 450 nt
Filed under: uncultured bacterium
Lineage: Bacteria
Description: partial 16S ribosomal RNA
Rfam family: Bacterial small subunit ribosomal RNA
Source: RNAcentral
GUGGGGAAUAUUCCGCAAUGGACGAAAGUCUGACGGAGCAACGCCGCGUGAGUGAUGAAGGUUUUCGGACCGUAAAGCUCUGUUGUUUAGGACGAAAGUGCCUGUUGCAAAUAGUUACAGGUAUUGACGGUACUGAACGAGGAAGCCACGGCUAACUACGUGCCAGCAGCCGCGGUAAUACGUAGGUGGCAAGCGUUGUCCGGAAUUAUUGGGCGUAAAGAGCAAGUAGGCGGGAAUCUAAGUCUGUUGUGAAAAUGCGGGGCUCAACCCCGUAUUGCGAUGGAAACUGGGUUUCUUGAGUGCAGGAGAGGAAAGGGGAAUUCCCAGUGUAGCGGUGAAAUGCGUAGAUAUUGGGAGGAACACCAGUGGCGAAGGCGCCUUUCUGGACUGUGUCUGACGCUGAGAUGCGAAAGCCAGGGUAGCGAACGGGAUUAGAAACCCUAGUAGUCC